Molecule: antisense RNA, 188 nt
Filed under: Malus domestica (apple)
Lineage: Eukaryota; Viridiplantae; Streptophyta; Magnoliopsida; Rosales; Rosaceae
Description: sRNA MD08G0131900
Rfam family: Antisense RNA which regulates isiA expression
Source: RNAcentral
AAUAACCAAAUACAAUACUUGGGCUAAGGGUGAAGUUGGUAAUUUUUCUUACAUCUCCCCCGCUUAGAGCCCAGGUAUCAUAUACACCCCCAAAAUAAAGAGCCUUGAAUACUAGAAAAAAAAGCACCUAUACCUAACAAGAUUAAGUGAAUUCCCAAAAUUAUAGUCAUUUUAUUUCUUUCCAUACA